GACGAACGCUGGCGGCGUGCUUAACACAUGCAAGUCGAACGGAAAGGCCCUGCUUUUGUGGGGUGCUCGAGUGGCGAACGGGUGAGUAACACGUGAGUAACCUGCCCUUGACUUUGGGAUAACUUCAGGAAACUGGGGCUAAUACCGGAUAGGAGCUCCUGCUGCAUGGUGGGGGUUGGAAAGUUUCGGCGGUUGGGGAUGGACUCGCGGCUUAUCAGCUUAUUGGUGGGGUAGUGGCUUACCAAGGCUUUGACGGGUAGCCGGCCUGAGAGGGUGACCGGCAACAUGGGGACUGAGAUACGGCCCAGACUCCUACGGGAGGCAGCAGUGGGGAAUAUUGCACAAUGGGCGGAAGCCUGAUGCAGCAACGCCGCGUGCGGGAUGACGGCCUUCGGGUUGUAAACCGCUUUCGCCUGUGACGAAGCGUGAGUGACGGUAAUGGGUAAAGAAGCACCGGCUAACUACGUG
Molecule: ribosomal RNA, 468 nt
Filed under: uncultured bacterium
Lineage: Bacteria
Description: partial 16S ribosomal RNA
Rfam family: Bacterial small subunit ribosomal RNA
Source: RNAcentral